CAAAGGACCACAGCCCGGUGACCAUAGGACAUUCCCAGCAGAUGAGGCAGCCUCCAUUAAAAAGCAACAUGGAUUCUCAUCCCCAGAUGUCUGAGAGAUAAGUUCAGGGCUAAGGCCCACAGAGGGGAUGAAAGCAAAGUGCUGGGAGGGCCUUUUGAAACAGCUUUGGGGGCGGGGAUGUUUGAGAAGUGUCCCCUUAGACCCUCUAAAGGGAAAGUGUCCGUUUUGAUCACAGUGCUGAGGUGCGCAGGGCAGAGCAGUUCCGGUGUGUGUCCUGUCACUUGUCUCUGGUGCACUCUGUGUUCUUUGGGUCUCCGAGUCCUUUCUUCUUGUCGAAAGCUCUCGCUCCCUGUCCUGUCCCCUCGAUGGUCGUGUCCUGUCCUGUGUCACGGGUGUCUGCACAUAUUUGUCCCGGAGCUGCUCUGCCCUGCUGCCUAGCCUGUAAUAGCACAAGUCCUGGGGACUUGAAAUUGGUAAUGCAGGGUGUAUUUGGGCUCUAGUUUUUAUUUGUUGAUUGCCCUAACAUUUUUGGUUCUAUUAAGUUGUCCUGCAGCUGUUUCACACUAGUCCUAACUUCCUUUCAGAUGCAGACAGUUCAAAUCAGUGGCAGAGAGCCCCAGUGCUCGGUGAGGGUGUUGCCAUGAGCAGGUCAGUCAUUGUUUGCAUUUGCAGGGGAAGCCUGAAUGGUGACUGUUACAGCAGUGUUCUUUGACUUCAUUUUUAGGAGGUCCAGGCAGAUAGCAGCAGUGAAGGCCCAGUGUGCCAGGGAAUCAUCUCAGUGUGCGCAUACCUCUGUCACCAACUGGCUGAUGGACCAGGUUUCAUGCACUUGUGAUCUCGCUGGAAGCAUUGCAGGACCCUGUGAUGGACCUUCCAGUUUUGCAUUUCAAGGCCCCAUCCUGGUAGCCCAGAGGAAUGGCUGAGCAGUUGCAGUGAGUCGGGGAAGUCGGGAGGAGGAGUGAGAGUCCACUUGUGUUUCAGCAAUGCCAUGUUGCCUUGUCUUCACUUAACCUAGGUGUACCCUGCAAUGACGGCGUCAGAAUCCAAGCACGCCCGACGCGUGCAGGCCAAGAACCCGGGCAUUCUGAGGAGGAUGACCAAGAAGUGACAGCUAUAACUUACCAGGCAGGCAGACGGCGUCCUUCUGCAGCCAACAGGGAUUUGCAUCCCCAGAUGUGUGCAAGAUAAGUGGAGGGUCAUGACCCACAGAGGGGAUAAAAGCAGGGUGCUGGGUUGGGCCUUUCUAGAAGGGCUUUUGAUGUCCAAGAAGCGUAUACUUAGUCCACCUAAAGGGAAAGUGUCUGUUUUAAUCACAGUGCUGAGGUGCGCAGGGCAGAGCAGUUCUGGUGUGUUUCCUGUCACUUGUCUCUGGUGCACUCUGUGUUCUUUGGGUCUCUGAGUCCUUUCUUCUUGUCGAAAGCUCUCGCUCCCUGUCCUGUCCCCUCGAUGGUCAUGUCCUGUCCUGUGUCACGGGUGUCUGCACGUAUUUGUCCCGGAGCUGCUCUGCCCUGCUGCCUAGCCCGUAAUAGCACAAGUCCUGGGGACUUGAAAUUGGUAAUGCAGGGUGUAUUUGGGCUCUAGCUGUUGCUUGUGUCCAUUGUUUGCCCUAACAUUUCUGGUGCUGUUAAGUUGUCCUGCAGCUGUUUUACACUAGUCCUAACAUCCUUUCAGAUGCAGACAGUUCAAAUCAGUGGCAGAGAGCCCCAAUGCUGGGUGAGGGUGUUGCCAUGAGCAGGUCAGUCAUUGUUUGCAUUUGCAAGGGAAGCCUAAAUGGUUACUGUGUUACAGCAGUGUUCUUUGCCUUUUUUUUAGGAGGUCCAGGCAGAUAGCAGCAGUGAAGGCCCAGUGUGCCAGGUGAGCAGUGGACAGAAGCAGUUGUUCUUGCUCAGGUCUCAAUGUUUGGUGCAACUCUAAGCAUCCAUUCUUGUUUGUGUGCUUUAGGGAAGCCACUUGGAGUAUGCCAAGCUCCUCUCACCAGCUGGCCGAUGGACUUCCUGCGCUUGUGAGUCCUCUGGAAGUAUUUCAGGACUCUUGAGAUGAAGCCUUGAAAUUUUGUAUUUCAAGAUGGCAUCCGGGUAGCCUUUGGCAAUGGCCAAGGAGCUGUGGCAGACGAUGAGAGAUGACGAUGGCAGCCUCUGAGCAUUGCCAAAGUGUGGGGCCCGAGCAACCAGGCAUUCGUACGAGAUCGCUGAGCACGGGACUACAGCCCGGUGACCAUAGGACAUUCCCAGCAGACGAGGCAGCCUCCAUUAAAAAGCGACAUGGAUUCUCAUCCCCAGAUGCCCAAGAGAUAAGUCGAGGGCUAGGGCCCACGGAGGGGACAAAAGUGAGGUGGUGGGAGGGCCUUUUAAAUCAGCUCUGGGGGUGGGGAUGUUUGAGAAGUGUCCCUUUAGGCCACCUGAAGGGAAAAUGCUUCUUUUGAUCACAGUGCUGAGGUGCGCAGGGCAGAGCAGUUCCGGUGUGUGUCCUGUCACUUGUCUCUGGUGCACUCUGUGUUCUUUGGGUCUCCGAGUCCUUUCUUCUUGUCGAAAGCUCUCGCUCCCUGUCCUGUCCCCUCGAUUGUCAUGUCCUGUCCUGUGUCACGGGUGUCUGCACGUAUUUGUCCCGGAGCUGCUCUGCCCUGCUGCCUAGCCUGUAACAGCACAAGUCCUGGGGACUUGAAAUUGGUAAUGCAGGGUGUAUUUGGGCUCUAGUUUUUAUUUGUUGAUUGCCCUAACAUUUUUGGUUCUAUUAAGUUGUCCUGCAGCUGUUUCACACUAGUCCUAACUUCCUUUCAGAUGCAGACAGUUCAAAUCAGUGGCAGAGAGCCCCAGUGCUCGGUGAGGGUGUUGCCAUGAGCAGGAGGUCCAGGCAGAUAGCAGCAGUGAAGGCCCAGUGUGCCAGGUGAGCAGUGGACAGAAGCAGUUGUUCUUGCUCAGGUCUCAAUGUUUGGUGCAACUCUAAGCAUCCAUUCUUGUUUUUGUGCUUUAGGGAAUCAUCUCAGUGUGCGCAUACCUUUGUCACCAACUGGCUGAAGGACCAGGUUUCAUGCACUUGUGAUCUCGCUGGAAGCAUUGCAGGACCCUGUGAUGGACCUUCCAGUUUUGCAUUUCAAGGCCCCAUCCUGGUAGCCCAGAGGAAUGGCUGAGCAGUUGCAGUGAGUCGGGGAAGUCGGGAGGAGGAGUGAGAGUCCACUUGUGUUUCAGCAAUGCCAUGUUGCCUUGUCUUCACUUAACCUAGGUGUACCCUGCAAUGACGGCGUCAGAAUCCAAGCACGCCCGACGCGUGCAGGCCAAGAACCCGGGCAUUCUGAGGAGGAUGACCAAGAAGUGACAGCUAUAACUUACCAGGCAGGCAGACGGCGUCCUUCUGCAGCCAACAGGGAUUUGCAUCCCCAGAUGUGUGCAAGAUAAGUGGAGGGUCAUGACCCACAGAGGGGAUAAAAGCAGGGUGCUGGGUUGGGCCUUUCUAGAAGGGCUUUUGAUGUCCAAGAAGCGUAUACUUAGUCCACCUAAAGGGAAAGUGUCUGUUUUAAUCACAGUGCUGAGGUGCGCAGGGCAGAGCAGUUCUGGUGUGUUUCCUGUCACUUGUCUCUGGUGCACUCUGUGUUCUUUGGGUCUCUGAGUCCUUUCUUCUUGUCGAAAGCUCUCGCUCCCUGUCCUGUCCCCUCGAUGGUCGUGUCCUGUCCUGUGUCACGGGUGUCUGCACGUAUUUGUCCCGGAGCUGCUCUGCCCUGCUGCCUAGCCCGUAAUAGCACAAGUCCUGGGGACUUGAAAUUGGUAAUGCAGGGUGUAUUUGGGCUCUAGCUGUUGCUUGUGUCCAUUGUUUGCCCUAACAUUUUUGGUGCUGUUAAGUUGCCCUGCAGCUGUUUUACACUAGUCCUAACAUCCUUUCAGAUGCAGACAGUUCAAAUCAGUGGCAGAGAGCCCCAAUGCUGGGUGAGGGUGUUGCCAUGAGCAGGUCAGUCAUUGUUUGCAUUUGCAAGGGAAGCCUAAAUGGUUACUGUGUUACAGCAGUGUUCUUUGCCUUUUUUUUAGGAGGUCCAGGCAGAUAGCAGCAGUGAAGGCCCAGUGUGCCAGGUGAGCAGUGGACAGAAGCAGUUGUUCUUGCUCAGGUCUCAAUGUUUGGUGCAACUCUAAGCAUCCAUUCUUGUUUGUGUGCUUUAGGGAAGCCACUUGGAGUAUGCCAAGCUCCUCUCACCAGCUGGCCGAUGGACUUCCUGCGCUUGUGAGUCCUCUGGAAGUAUUUCAGGACUCUUGAGAUGAAGCCUUGAAAUUUUGUAUUUCAAGAUGGCAUCCGGGUAGCCUUUGGCAAUGGCCAAGGAGCUGUGGCAGACGAUGAGAGAUGACGAUGGCAGCCUCUGAGCAUUGCCAAAGUGUGGGGCCCGAGCAACCAGGCAUUCGUACGAGAUCGCUGAGCACGGGACUACAGCCCGGUGACCAUAGGACAUUCCCAGCAGACGAGGCAGCCUCCAUUAAAAAGCGACAUGGAUUCUCAUCCCCAGAUGCCCAAGAGAUAAGUCGAGGGCUAGGGCCCACGGAGGGGACAAAAGUGAGGUGGUGGGAGGGCCUUUUGAAUCGGCUCUGGGGGUGGGGAUGUUUGAGAAGUGUCCCUUUAGGCCACCUGAAGGGAAAAUGCUUCUUUUGAUCACAGUGCUGAGGUGCGCAGGGCAGAGCAGUUCCGGUGUGUGUCCUGUCACUUGUCUCUGGUGCACUCUGUGUUCUUUGGGUCUCCGAGUCCUUUCUUCUUGUCGAAAGCUCUCGCUCCCUGUCCUGUCCCCUCGAUUGUCAUGUCCUGUCCUGUGUCACGGGUGUCUGCACAUAUUUGUCCUGGAGCUGCUCUGCCCUGCUGCCUAGCCUGUAAUAGCACAAGUCCUGGGGACUUGAAAUUGGUAAUGCAGGGUGUAUUUGGGCUCUAGUUUUUAUUUGUUGAUUGCCCUAACAUUUUUGGUUCUGUUAAGUUGUCCUGCAGCUGUUUCACACUAGUCCUAACAUCCUUUCAGAUGCAGACAGUUCAAAUCAGUGGCAGAGAGCCCCAGUGCUCGGUGAGGGUGUUGCCAUGAGCAGGUCAGUCAUUGUUUGCAUUUGCAGGGGUAGCCUAGGUGGUGACUUUGUUACAGCAGUCUUUAUUCUUAGGAGGUCCAGGCAGAUAGCAGCAGUCAAGGCCCAAUGUCCAAGGGGAGCAGUGGACAGAAGCAGUUGUUUUUACUCAGCUUUCGGUUUCUGGUGCAAUUCUAAGCAUCCUUUCUCAUUUUUGUGCUUUAGGGAAUCGACUCGGAGUACUCAUACCUCCAUCACCAACUGGCCAACGGACCGGUGCCAGGAGCGUGGCUUCUCGUUUUCCAGCCUUCCUUGCUGUGGUGGUUUUGAGGAACUUACUGGAUGGUUUUCUUUUGUUCAUAGUUGGUGUAGGAGAAGGGCCAUGGUGUGCUUUUUGCUUGUUACGGUUCUUGCUUCAGGUGCUCAUGACAAGUGUUUUUUUUGGGUUGAGUCUUGUGGUUGGAUUUCUUUUUGAUGGGUUCUUAUGUUUUUGAAGGAUGUGUUUUUAAAGGUUUAUAAUGUUUUUUAUGGGUCAUAGCAUGAAGUAGAGGGUAGGUUUUUAAUUCGGCUGUGGAGGCUUUUAUUGGCGUGAGUAUGUAGUGGUUUAUUUUGGUUGGUUUGAGGUAGUGUCCUGUAGUUAAUUAUUGAGGUUUUUUCAAUAUUGAUAAUUGCAUUCUUGUUUAUUAUGUUGUAGGGGUUUUAUUUGUCUUGUUUGAUUGCUUUGUGUGUUUUAUUGUCUCAGACAAUUUGGGAGUUAUUAUUUAUGGUUACUUUUCUCUUUUGGUGACAUGUUUAUUUCUAGGUGGUAUUUGUGUUUUGAUGGUUUAAGGCAUUCUGAGGUCCUUGAGUUAGGAAUUAUUAUUUUGUUGUUGUGAAUAUAUAUUUUUUUUUGUAGUUGGAUGUAUUUGUUGGUUUUUAUUAGUUUGAUUUUUGGGAACAUGGGUAUUUCUAUGGUGGAUCUUUAUAGCUAGGUAUUUUAUUUGGGUGGUGAGUUUUUUGUUUCUUCAUGGUUUCGAUUUUUUUUAUAUCUGUAAUUAUUUGGGGGGAGUUUAGUUAAUUUUUUAGAGUAUUGGGUUCUCUUGAUGAGUUAGUGUAGUGGUAGGGUAUUGUUUGGGUUUUUUUUAGAAACAUUUGGGAUCUGUUGUAUGGUUUGGAGUAUAAGAGGUUAGUUGAAGAGUUUUUUUUCUUUUUAGUGUUUUUUUUUUGUUUUGUGUGGGUUUUUAUAGGUGGGUUUUUUUAAUUAAUGUUCCAUUUUUGUUAUGUGAUAAGAACUGUUAGUGAAAGGAGCGUAGUGGGGUUUUUUUUGCUGGUAGUUGGUUGGCUGGUGGAGCCUUUCUGAAUUUUUUGGAUGGUAUUCUUGGUUAUUCGAUGCUGUUUGUUAUGGCAUUUUAUUUUUAGGAAUUGGAUUAUAACUGCAGAGUUCUAACUGUAACUCUAAUGAAACAAAACACAUGCAUAAAUAUGAAAAUGGGAAUAUAAAACUUCAAUUUUAAAUAUAAAUGGAAAACAUAUGAAUAAAACAUGUAACAUGAA
This is a non-coding RNA of Taeniopygia guttata (zebra finch), 6551 nucleotides long. The record is from RefSeq and is a predicted model, not a curated record. NCBI's taxonomy places the organism in Eukaryota, Metazoa, Chordata, Aves, Passeriformes, Estrildidae.